GACGAACGCUGGCGGCGUGCCUAACACAUGCAAGUCGAACGGAAAGGCUCCAGCUUGCUGGCGUACUCGAGUGGCGAACGGGUGAGUAACACGUGGGUAAUCUGCCCUGCACUCUGGGAUAAGCCUGGGAAACUGGGUCUAAUACUGGAUAUGACCUUUCUCCUUAUGGGGUUUGGUGGAAAGUUUUUCGGUGUAGGAUGAGCCCGCGGCCUAUCAGCUUGUUGGUGGGGUGAUGGCCUACCAAGGCGACGACGGGUAGCCGGCCUGAGAGGGUGAUCGGCCACAUUGGGACUGAGAUACGGCCCAGACUCCUACGGGAGGCAGCAGUGGGGAAUAUUGCACAAUGGGCGGAAGCCUGAUGCAGCGACGCCGCGUGAGGGAUGACGGCCUUCGGGUUGUAAACCUCUUUCAGCAGGGACGAAGCGUAAGUGACGGUACCUGCAGAAGAAGCACCGGCUAACUAUGUG
This 467-nucleotide ribosomal RNA is filed under the name uncultured bacterium. RNAcentral's name for it is "partial 16S ribosomal RNA". It matches the Rfam family "Bacterial small subunit ribosomal RNA", at positions 28 to 507 of the family's 1533-position model. The record is from RNAcentral.